UUCGAUUCGGUGUGACAAGGCCCGGGAACGUAUUCACCGCAGCGUUGCUGAUCUGCGAUUACUAGCGAUUCCGGCUUCAUGCAGUCGAGUUGCAGACUGCAAUCCGAACUUAGACCGGCUUUUGGCGAUUGGCGCACCCUCGCGGGUUGGCGACGCUCUGUACCGGCCAUUGUAGCAUGUUUGCAGCCCAAGACUUAAGGGGCAUGAUGACUUGACCUCAUCCCCACCUUCCUCCGAGUUGACCCCGGCAGUCUCCUAUGAGUCCCCGGCAUUAUCCGCUGGCAACAUAGGACGAGGGUUGCGCUCGUUGCGGGACUUAACCCAACAUCUCACGACACGAGCUGACGACAGCCAUGCACCACCUGUGCAGGGCCCUUACGGACACCGUAUCUCUACGGCUUUUCCCUGCAUGUCAAACCUUGGUAAGGUUCUUCGCGUUAAUCACUA
This 447-nucleotide ribosomal RNA is filed under the name uncultured soil bacterium. RNAcentral's name for it is "partial 16S ribosomal RNA". The record is from RNAcentral.